GGCUAGGUAACAUAAUGGAAAUGUAUCAGACUGCAAAUCCUGGAAUGACGGUUCGACCCCGUCCUUGGCCU
This is a non-coding RNA of Eucalyptus grandis, 71 nucleotides long. NCBI's taxonomy places the organism in Eukaryota, Viridiplantae, Streptophyta, Magnoliopsida, Myrtales, Myrtaceae. The record is from Rfam.